UACGUAGGGGGCGAGCGUUGUCCGGAUUUAUUGGGCGUAAAGAGCUCGUAGGCGGUUCGGCAAGUCAGAUGUAAAAACUCCAGGCUCAACUUGGAGAGGCCAUCUGAUACUGCCGUGACUAGAGUCCGAUAGAGGAGCACGGAAUUCCUGGUGUAGCGGUGAAAUGCGCAGAUAUCAGGAGGAACACCAGCGGCGAAGGCGGUGCUCUGGGCCGGAACUGACGGCGUGAGGAGCGAAAGCGUGGGGAGCGAACAGG
RNAcentral lists this ribosomal RNA (256 nucleotides) under uncultured bacterium. RNAcentral's name for it is "partial 16S ribosomal RNA". It matches the Rfam family "Bacterial small subunit ribosomal RNA", at positions 524 to 776 of the family's 1533-position model. The record is from RNAcentral.